This is a long non-coding RNA of Peromyscus eremicus (cactus mouse), 332 nucleotides long. RefSeq lists it as uncharacterized. The transcript has 2 exons. The record is from RefSeq and is a predicted model, not a curated record. NCBI's taxonomy places the organism in Eukaryota, Metazoa, Chordata, Mammalia, Rodentia, Cricetidae.
CUCCAGCAUUGACUUCUCUGGAUAUUUAAUGCCAAACACUUUUGUGGGUGAGAUGUUAGAUGCAGAAUGGAUUCUUCUCUCUGGAGUUGGCACCAUAAAACCAAUGUAACACAUGGCUACCAUGAGGGCUUUGUGCAUUGCUUUCAGAAAUGUACAGAAAACAGGUUCCUGAGUCACAUAUGGAUCUACUCUCAACGAUGUAUGUUGUCCCCAACAAUGGCUGAAGGACUGUAUCUUCUCUCUAACAGUAGAAAAAAAGUCCCUUUAUCUCCAAACUCUGCCACAAACUUUUUUGAUAAUGGCCAUCCCAAUAAAUGUGAAGUGACAUCUCA